This 252-nucleotide ribosomal RNA is filed under the name uncultured bacterium. Its description in RNAcentral is "partial 16S ribosomal RNA". It matches the Rfam family "Bacterial small subunit ribosomal RNA", at positions 524 to 776 of the family's 1533-position model. The record is from RNAcentral.
GACAGAGGUGCCGAGCGUUAGGCGGAAUCACUGGGCUUAAAGCGUGUGUAGGCGGAUGGGUAAGUACCUUGUGAAAUCCCACGGCUCAACCGUGGAACUGCUCGGUAUACUGCUCGUCUUGAGCCAACUAGGGGCGACCGGAACAAACGGUGGAGCGGUGAAAUGCGUAGAUAUCGUUUGGAACGCCGAUGGUGAAAACAGGUCGCUGGGGUUGUGCUGACGCUGAGACACGAAAGCCAGGGAGCGAACGGG